Manacus vitellinus (golden-collared manakin) is the source of this 777-nucleotide long non-coding RNA. RefSeq lists it as uncharacterized. The record is from RefSeq and is a predicted model, not a curated record. NCBI's taxonomy places the organism in Eukaryota, Metazoa, Chordata, Aves, Passeriformes, Pipridae. The transcript is spliced from 6 exons.
CCCGGCCAAUCAGCCAUGUCACUUUGAUUGGAGGAAACCUAUAAGCAUUUCAGCAAAAAUCCAAACCCAACAAGAUAGUAAGAGCAGCAAACUGGCUUCACUCUGGGGUUUCGUCACAGCUCUGGCCUCCCCACACAUUACUGAAAGGUCCAGCGUCAGGACAUACUCAGGACAUCUCCCAGAAGCUCCAAAACAAAUUGCCUUUGGACUUUGAGACCAUGAAACCAGAGGAACCAAAUACAGUCCCUCACAGAAAGAGCCAGGAGUGUCUGAGGCAGCUCGAUGAAGCUCUAGGACUUGCUGGUGCUUUUUGGAUUUCCUGGUGGGCCAUUCGGAGUGGGAGAGAAGGUUGAAGUCAAGGAAUGAAAAUGAUCUACCAUGGACAAGUGUUUCCUCUGGUAGCAAUGUGCUAAAAAAGCAGCAGCACUGGAAACUCUACCCCGAUGUCUAGAAUGGCCUGUCACUUGAUUAAGAGCUUAGGAGACUGCACAGAGCUGGCUGAAGUUUGUUGUCAUCCAACACAGAAAUCCUGGUGUCCCCUGAAAACAGAAUUUGAAGGCUUUCCCAUUUUAAAACAAACACCUACACAACUUGGAUUUUUGAGUGUGUCCAGGUCAGGACAGGAGCAUCAGCCAGGUGGGACCUCAGCCUGCCAAGCUCUGUGUACUGCCCCAGUCUCCACAAAGCACUGCAGAACCGGCAUCAGCUCAGUCAGAAACCAUCUCUGACAAGGUUUUUCAUCAAAAACCUAGCAAAUUCUAGCCUUUGCUGGUGAGA